GUAGGGAAUAUUGGGCAAUGGAGGCAACUCUGACCCAGCCAUGCCGCGUGCAGGAUGACGGCCCUCUGGGUUGUAAACUGCUUUUAUACGGGAAGAAAAAAUACUACGUGUAGUAUACUGACGGUACCGUAAGAAUAAGGAUCGGCUAACUCCGUGCCAGCAGCCGCGGUAAUACGGAGGAUCCAAGCGUUGUCCGGAUUUAUUGGGUUUAAAGGGUGCGUAGGCGGAUCUUUAAGUCAGUGGUGAAAGCCUGCAGCUUAACUGUAGAAUUGCCAUUGAAACUGAAGGUCUUGAAUGUGGUUAAAGUAGGCGGAAUGUAUCAUGUAGCGGUGAAAUGCUUAGAUAUGAUACAGAACACCGAUAGCGAAGGCAGCUUGCUGAACCAUUAUUGACGCUGAGGCACGAAAGCGUGGGGAGCGAACAGGAUUAGAAACCCGUGUAGUCC
Molecule: ribosomal RNA, 445 nt
Filed under: uncultured bacterium
Lineage: Bacteria
Description: partial 16S ribosomal RNA
Rfam family: Bacterial small subunit ribosomal RNA
Source: RNAcentral